AAAUGAAUAGACGGGGGCUCACACAAGCGGUGGAGCAUGUGGCUUAAUUCGAAGCAACGCGAAGAACCUUAUCCAAGGCUUGACAUGUAUGGAUUAGUUCUGGGAAACCAGAAUGACACUCUUGUAGUGGAACAUACACAGGUGCUGCAUGGCUGUCGUCAGCUCGUGCUGUGAAGUGUCGGGUUAAGUCCCUUAACGAGCGAAACCCCUAUCGUUAGUUGCUACCAGGUAAUGCUGAGGACUCUAACGAGACUGCCGGUGUCAAACCGGAGGAAGGUGGGGAUGACGUCAAGUCCUCAUGGCCCUUAUGCCUUGGGCUGCACACGUGCUACAAUGGCGUGGUACAAAGCGAAGCAAGACCGCAAGGUGGAGCAAAUCGCAUAAAACACGCCCCAGUUCGGAUUGAGGUCUGCAACUCGACCUCAUGAAGUUGGAAUCGCUAGUAAUCGUGGAUCAGCUACGCCACGGUGAAUAUGUUCCUGAGCCUUGUACACACCGCCCGU
This 503-nucleotide ribosomal RNA is filed under the name uncultured bacterium. Its description in RNAcentral is "bacterial SSU rRNA". It matches the Rfam family "Bacterial small subunit ribosomal RNA", at positions 903 to 1397 of the family's 1533-position model. The record is from RNAcentral.